AAGAACAGCAAGGGUUGACAAGUUUCUUGAUAUAUUUGAGAAAGAAGGGUGUAGGAUGGUGCCAAUGACAUGUGCUGAGCAUGAUAAGCAUGCUGCAGGUUCACAGUUCAUUACACAUACAAUGGGGAGGGUGUUGGAGAAGUUGGGUUUGGAGUCAACUCCUAUUAAUACUAAAGGGUAUGAGACUUUGUUGAAUCUGGUGGAUAAUACUGCUAGUGAUAGCUUUGACUUGUACUAUGGGCUGUUUAUGUACAAUAAAAAUGCUAUGGAGGAGUUGGAAAGACUUGACUUGGCUUUUGAGGCUUUGAAGAAGGAGUUAUUCGGGCAUUUACAUGAUUUGUUGAGGAAGCAAUUGUUUGGGAAGGCGGAGGAAGCAGGACAGAGGCGUGUCUUAUCCAAGUUGCCCAGGAAUGGCUAUGCGCUGCCAGCCCCUUCAUCGGAUGCUGUUAAACCUGAGAACAACUGAGGGAAUUAUGAAUCUUGGUAUGUCUGCAUUUUUUGUUGGUGACCUCUAGCUUUGGGAUUCAAAGGAUGUAUUAUUAACACGAUAUUUAAUGUGGCAAUUCAAUAAUAGCAAUGUAACUAUGCUACAAGGACAUACUCAUUCUGUUGUUUAUCCUGCUGUUAAUGAGAAGAUUAAAGAGAAGCACUAGUUCAACCUUGGAGUUGGGGUUAGGUGUUGAGUUGUAAGAUCAUCAAAAGAACUAUAUUUUGACCUGUAACUUCGUCCUUUUGAUAUUUUAGGAACAUUUGUGGUAGGAGAGUGACUUUUGAUGUGAUUACAUUUCAGAUGUUGAAGAAUGUAGUUUAGGAUGGAAAUUCAGUUAACAGUUAUCUAUUUGUUGCUGGAUAAACUAGUAUGUAUCUCAUGUAUUUAUGUUUCAAGAGGUGAGUUAUGUGUUAGCUUAUUUCUUCUGAAG
Molecule: unclassified non-coding RNA, 920 nt
Filed under: Hevea brasiliensis (rubber tree)
Lineage: Eukaryota; Viridiplantae; Streptophyta; Magnoliopsida; Malpighiales; Euphorbiaceae
Source: RNAcentral